GGCACAUAGAAACCCACUCAGCUGUGAAGCUAGAUAAGUAGUGAAGGAAGUUAUGAAGCUGCACCGUGAGAACCGGCUUUCUCAAGUAGAACUUAAUUCCUCCUUACCUUUUGCACCGAGGUGAUGGCCCACUCCCAGCCCUCCAUCCCUGCUCUGUUUUCCUUCUUUCUUCACCAUCUUCAGCAUCAGAGAACCCAGAAAGUUUGGUUAGCUACAUGCAAGCGCAGGGGCAGGAACAGAGGUGAAGGAGCCUUUCUUCUACCCACAGAUGGUCCAAGCUGCUAGAGAAGAAAGGAGUGGGAAGAGAAAUCAAGAUGUGUCCUCUGAUUCCAUCCCACACGAUUUGCUUAUUCAAUGUAUUGAUUACAUAAAAUUACACAUGACACAAAUGCCUGGCAGUGGGACUUUAAUUGUGAGCAGAGGAAACACCCUAUGUGAUGUAGGAAAAAAAUUUGAGAUUCAAAGUCAAAGACCAAAGUUCUACUUCUGGCUCCUCUACCUAGAAGCUGGAAAAAUACUCUGGCAGCCUCAAUACUUCAUCUAUAAAGGUAGUAAGAUUAUGCAGCUUCAUCCACCUCCACAUUCAUCCACCUUCCUCAACCUCCUCCACAACCUCCCCAAAGUGGCUUUGGAGGCCAAAGAUGCAAUGGAAUGAGUGAGAAACAGAAAAGCUCUGGUUUCAUGCUGAUGGGGAUAACAGCCCAAAAAGAAGAAAAAGAAAGAAAAUAAGAAAAGAAAAG
Molecule: long non-coding RNA, 740 nt
Organism: Heterocephalus glaber (naked mole-rat)
Lineage: Eukaryota; Metazoa; Chordata; Mammalia; Rodentia; Bathyergidae
Source: Ensembl